This 238-nucleotide ribosomal RNA is filed under the name uncultured bacterium. Its description in RNAcentral is "partial 16S ribosomal RNA". It matches the Rfam family "Bacterial small subunit ribosomal RNA", at positions 15 to 235 of the family's 1533-position model. The record is from RNAcentral.
GAUCCUGGCUCAGGAUGAACGCUGGCGGCGUGCCUAACACAUGCAAGUCGAGCGGAGCGCUUUGCUUAGAUUCUUCGGAUGAAGAGGAUUGUGACUGAGCGGCGGACGGGUGAGUAACGCGUGGGUAACCUGCCUCAUACAGGGGGAUAACAGUUAGAAAUGACUGCUAAUACCGCAUAAGACCACAGCACCGCAUGGUGCGGGGGUAAAAACUCCGGUGGUAUGAGAUGGACCCGCG